This 593-nucleotide ribosomal RNA is filed under the name Rhodotorula mucilaginosa. Its description in RNAcentral is "eukaryotic LSU rRNA". It matches the Rfam family "Eukaryotic large subunit ribosomal RNA", at positions 44 to 646 of the family's 3401-position model. Lineage: Eukaryota; Fungi; Basidiomycota; Microbotryomycetes; Sporidiobolales; Sporidiobolaceae. The record is from RNAcentral.
CAAUAAGCGGAGGAAAAGAAACUAACAAGGAUUCCCCUAGUAGCGGCGAGCGAAGCGGGAAGAAAACACUGCUCAAAUUUAUAAUCUGGCACCUUCGGUGUCCGAGUUGUAAUCUCUAGAAAUGUUUUCCGCGUUGGACCGCACACAAGUCUGUUGGAAUACAGCGGCAUAGUGGUGAGACCCCCGUAUAUGGUGCGGACGCCCAGCGCUUUGUGAUACAUUUUCGAAGAGUCGAGUUGUUUGGGAAUGCAGCUCAAAUUGGGUGGUAAAUUCCAUCUAAAGCUAAAUAUUGGCGAGAGACCGAUAGCGAACAAGUACCGUGAGGGAAAGAUGAAAAGCACUUUGGAAAGAGAGUUAACAGUACGUGAAAUUGUUGGAAGGGAAACGCUUGAAGUCAGACUUGCUUGCCGAGCAAUCGGUUUGCAGGCCAGCAUCAGUUUUCCGGGAUGGAUAAUGGUAGAGAGAAGGUAGCAGUUUCGGCUGUGUUAUAGCUCUCUGCUGGAUACAUCUUGGGGGACUGAGGAACGCAGUGUGCCUUUGGCGGGGGUUUCGACCUCUUCACACUUAGGAUGCUGGUGGAAUGGCUUUAAACG